Molecule: small RNA, 385 nt
Filed under: Spisula solidissima (Atlantic surf clam)
Lineage: Eukaryota; Metazoa; Mollusca; Bivalvia; Venerida; Mactridae
Description: cnRNA132
Source: RNAcentral
AAGGUUAAUUUAUCUGGUGCACGCUCGCUGCAGGAAGGUGCAGAAAGGUUGUAGUAAAUCGGACAGAGAAAGCAACAUUCAGCAGAAACAGGAGAGCAUCAAAGGUACAAGAAAGCAACAUACAGCAGAAACAGGAGAGCAUCAAAGGUACAAGAAAGCAACAUUCAGCAGAAACAGGAGAGCAUCAAAGGGAUAAGAAAGCAGCAUUCAGCAGAAACAGGAGAGCAUCAAAGGUACAAGAAAGCAACAUUCAGCAGAAACAGGAGAGCAUCAAAGGUACAAGAAAGCAGCAUUCAGCAGAAACAGGAGAGCAUCAAAGGUACAAGAAAGCAGCAUUCAGCAGAAACAGAAGAGCAUCAAAGGUACAAUAAAGCAACAUUCAGCU